RNAcentral lists this ribosomal RNA (704 nucleotides) under uncultured Bacteroidota bacterium. RNAcentral's name for it is "bacterial SSU rRNA". It matches the Rfam family "Bacterial small subunit ribosomal RNA", at positions 62 to 763 of the family's 1533-position model. Lineage: Bacteria; Pseudomonadati; Bacteroidota. The record is from RNAcentral.
UCGAGGGGUAUAGAUGGGUUUACUCGUCUAGAGACCGGCGCACGGGUGCGUAACACGUAUGCAACCUACCCUUUACUGGGGCAUAGCUCAGAGAAAUCUGAAUUAAUUCCCCAUAACAUUAUUAAGUGGCAUCACUUGAUAAUUAAAGCUGAGGCGGUAAAGGAUGGGCAUGCGUUGCAUUAGCUAGUUGGUGAGGUAACGGCUCACCAAGGCUACGAUGCAUAGGGGUUCUGAGAGGAUGAUCCCCCACACUGGUACUGAGACACGGACCAGACUCCUACGGGAGGCAGCAGUAGGGAAUAUUGGUCAAUGGACGCAAGUCUGAACCAGCCAUGCCGCGUGCAGGAAGACGGCCCUCUGGGUUGUAAACUGCUUUUAUAUGGGAAGAAACCCCUGGAUGCGUCCAGGGCUGACGGUACUUUAUGAAUAAGGAUCGGCUAACUUCGUGCCAGCAGCCGCGGUAAGACGAAGGAUCCAAGCGUUGUCCGGAUUUACUGGGUUUAAAGGGUGCGUAGGCGGACCGAUAAGUCAGUGGUGAAAGCCCAUAGCUCAACUAUGGAACUGCCAUUGAAACUGCCGGUCUUGAAUUCGAUUGAGGCAGAUGGAAUAUAACAUGUAGCGGUGAAAUGCUUAGAUAUGUUAUAGAACACCGAUUGCGAAGGCAGUCUGCUAAGUCGACAUUGACGCUGAGGCACGAAAGCGUG